Nerophis lumbriciformis (worm pipefish) is the source of this 3973-nucleotide long non-coding RNA. RefSeq lists it as uncharacterized. The record is from RefSeq and is a predicted model, not a curated record. NCBI's taxonomy places the organism in Eukaryota, Metazoa, Chordata, Actinopteri, Syngnathiformes, Syngnathidae.
GUGAGGGACACAAAUGUUUCCUCUUUCAGGAAGACGCGGAAAAGUCUCUGCCUUCAUUCAUGAGAUGUGAAUUUCACCUGCUUUCUCUUUCAUUUCAGCCGAAUACGAUCCAGCUGGUAAGUAAAACAUCUUCUCUUUCUUGGAAACCAUAACAAUAAACAAAGCAGUGGUGAAGCAUCACUCACACACUUUGUAAGUUUACCCCCACAAAGAUUUAAGUUAUUAAUAUCAUUUAUUACAUAUUCAUCUUUGUUAUACACCUUUAUGUCAGGUAUAUUCCAAAUAAUAUUGACUUUCUGUUUCUGUUACCACCAAAAUUCUGGAUUGUUGGUAUCUUUGUAAGGGUCAACUUGCAAACUUCCUGUUUUAAGGUGUGAUGUAGACACGUGUUACAAGUUCAGCAGGAAAAUAAAAGCUUCCCUCCAUUAGGAGUAGCUUGAUACUCGUGUAAGCGCACGCAAUAGAAAGUAUCACAGCCAACUUUUGAUGAGUCGUCAUGAUAACGAACAUCAAGGGCCUGAUCUACUAAAGGUUUGUGUGUAUUAAAAUAUGUGCAAACCUGAUCUAAUUAAUUUGUGUGCAGAGUCUCUGAAAUGAGCAAAAUAGAGAGCGCAAUCCAUUAAGCGUGUCUGUCUUCAUGUAUGUGCAGAAUAUAUGCUGAUUAUCAAUCCCCCACAAUAGUAGGAGGAGGAGAUACAAAUGUAACUAAAUGAGGCAAUUCCUGAAGGAAUUGCGUGUGAAUGCUCCAAUGCUGAAGUUGAACUGAAAUGCUGACAGAAUGUAGUAUGAAUGUAAGAAUAGAAGAAAGUUUGAAUGUUGAAGAGUUUGAAUUCCCAGGAAAACCGGAAUUUGGUUUGAAACUUGGGAAAGUGUUAGUUUGAAUGUCCAGGAUGAGAGGAAUGUGUUAAUGUUGAAAUGCUUUGAAUAGAUUGAAAAAUGUGGGAAUUGCGCAACUUGGAAAAAUGUCCCAUUCAUUUCAAUGGGAACUUCCUGGAAAAUUGGGAUUUUUUUAGGAAAUGAUUAGGAGCAUGAAUAUCCUGAAUGAGCUGAAUUUGUUGGUGUUGGAAUUGUUUGAAUAGGGCAACAAAUUGAAAAAUAGUAAAUGGUAUUUGGCAAUUUGUUGGAAAAUGGUAAAAAAAAAACUUGAAUGAGUUGAAAUGGUUGGUGUUGGAAUUUUUCAAAUCGGUCGAGAAAUGUUGAAAUAGUAACAUGUUGAAUUGAGAAAUGGUAUUCCUGGAAUUAGUUUUUUGUCCUGAUUAAGAGGAAUGUUUUGACAGUAGAAUGGUUGAAAUGCGUUGAAAAAUGUGAAAGGAGUAGUCGCCAGGAAAAAAGGGUGGAAAUGGGGCUUUGGAAAACCAGGAAUUGUGGAAAAUCCUGGAAUUUUUUUUAACUUGGAAAAAGGGAAAUUUGAAUUUCCAGGAUGGUGGAAUGUGUUGAAGGUGGAAUGGUUUAAAUAGGUAGAAAAAUGUGGAAACGGUGGAAGUUUGAAAAAUGGCCAAUUCAUUUGGAAUGGGAAAAAUGUCCCGGGAAUUCUGGGAAAUCUGGGAAUUUUUGGAAUUUGUCAAGGGAAAGCCCGCGAUUCCCGAAUAAGCUGAACAGUUUCAAGUUGGAACGGUUUGAUUCCGGUGAAAAAUAUGAAAGGUAGAACGCGCCAAAAUCUUAACAAGAAGAAGACGUUUAAUAAUAAAUAGAUGAAUUUUGGUGUAGAAAACCAUAUUAGUGAAUGUUUGGAGCAUUCACACAAUUAUUUAGCAUCUCACACAGAACAGACUCAAGAAUAAAGAUCAAGAAGCCAGUAAAAAAGAAGAAGAUGAAAUGGGCAAAGUGAAAGGAAACAGAGGCAUGGCACUAAGCUAUCCAUACACUUGGGUAAAACUGAAUCCAUCCUGUUUGGGUCCCACAUCAACCUUAAGAAAGUCAAUGACUUCACUAUAAAAGUGGGUGACAUUGUUAUCACCAGGAAGGAUGAGGUCACCUACCUAGGUUCCAUUCUAGAGGCUGAUCUUUCCUGUGAUAAAAUGGCAACCAAGGUAAUCAAAAAGGUCAACCAACGAACGAGAUUUCUCUCUAGAAUCUACUACUACCGCAACCUACUAAUAAAAGUCUCAAUCAAUCAAUCAAUCAAUCAAUAAUGGGACACUUAGGUGACUAAGACACUGGAGGGCUGGUUGCACAUGAGCCUUGAAGCCAAGCUUAACCUGUUUGGAGACUUAGUCUUAGACUAGUCAGGAAGUAGAAGAGCAGAAUUCUGCUUCUUGAUGCUUCUGAUUGAAUUGACAGCUGCAAAGAUGUGAUAUGAGUGAAGAUGCACCUUCUGGAUGGACUUCCUUCACCAGAGUGAGGUGUUGGCUCUGCAUGAGCAGCGUAACCAGCUCACGGUGCGUUUUGUGCUCCCACAGCUGGUGACGCUGGUAACGAGCUCUCAGAGAGACGUGAAGGCUGAAGGCUGAGUGAGACACAGUGAGGACUUUUCUUUUUCAUGCACCUCCAAAUGUUCUUCUGACUUUGUGUGAAGAUGAUGUUCAACUUGGCUCUCACUCUGCCACAUGCUAACAUCUGCACUUGGAUUCACCUGCUUUUGUUGGGAAUGUGCUGAGUCAUCUUCUUCCUCCAGGAUGCUUUGUGCACUGGAACACAGAGAGAUGUCUCCAUCGCUGAGGGACCUCAUCACACUUGGACAUUUCUUUCACAUCUGCACUAAUUGCUCCUCAUCUCAUCCAUCAUGUCUUCUUUGGGUGUUUAUGGCUGAGAAAACACCUUCAAUCUGCAUUUUUCAACAAUAUUUUGCCAGUGAAUCAUGUUGAUGUUGAUCUUUGUGUCCAUGUAGUUGUGAUGUCAUCAUUUGGGGCUCACGUGUCAUCACAUUGACAAGGAUGUCUUCUUUCCUUUUCAAACCAAUAGACAGCUGCUUAUCAGUGAAUAUCACCUUGUGUCACAUGUCAUCAUUAUUUUUACAAAUAUUUUGGAACAAUAGCACAAUUUUUCGGUACUUUUUUAUGUUAAAGUUAAUUGUUUGAUAAUCAAUUUUUUGUUGUAACAUUUAAGAAUGAUGAUUAUGAUAACUGCUGUCCAGUUGUUAUAUCUUGUUUUCUGGUUACAUUAGUCUCCUUUGCAAUGCAGUUGCACUUCCAAGACCAUUAGAUGGCAGCACUGUAUAACUAUUUAUGCUAUGUUGUCAAACUAGAAAGUAGCUUUUUUUCAGGAAGAUGAAUUUGUUAGGUUGCGCCCUACAAAGUGUCAAUACUGUAAGUAUUGUCCUCAUUGCACAAAACUGUAAAAUUCUAAUUAUAUUAUUAGUUAUCGUUUCCUUUACCAAAUCAAAGGUGUUGAAAUCGCCAUGUUAAAUCGCUCAUGCUAAUAGUCGCCUGUCUAUGGCUAAUACUAUGUAAAUUAGCAUUAAGCUAGCGCAUUUUGAAAGGGUGUAGCAUUACUUUAGGUUUGAGCGUAUUUUUUAUUAAGCACACUUUGUUGGUGUUGAAAAUGGCAAGGUGACUUAGAGGGAGUUUGGCUGAGUCCGGCCUGAGUGCUGCUUGAGUGAUUGUUUACGUGUUUAGUCUGAAACCAGACAUGACCAGUCUGAAACCGGACAUGACGUCACAUGCAACAAAGGUACGAACUACGGCACCGUUGGAUUUUACGUGAAUUGAUAGUACCGAAGGAAUUUGGUCAUUACCUACAAAAGUACUGAAUUGGGUAGCCAACCCUACCAGUUAGUGUGACGGAGGGAGACAGUGACACAAGAUUUUUAUGACAAAGCGUUGUGAAAUAUAUUUAUAUUUGUUUUAAAUAUUUGUUGUUUUUCCGUUCCUUUUUGCAUAGUCAUAUUUUUGCUUGAUUGCCAAACAUGGCUAGGAUGUCAUUUGGGAAGUAAACAAGGUAGGCCGUUCAUAUACUCUUGAUAUUCAGUGUUUUAUGUGUACUAUGUUUCAUGUACAUUCUGGGUGUUUUAUUCAGUAAAAACUUUUCAAAUACA